GUGAUGCUUCUACAAAAUGUUCUCCCAGACUCCAGCAAUUUGUGGUUCAGGGACCACUGAAAUAAAUAAAUUCAACAAAUCUCAAAGGAUUUCUCACCAAUGAUCUUGCUAUGCCUGCCCCAAGCCUUCUGGCACUUUUAGCUUCCCUGAACAAAGGAACUCAUCCGGUCACUUGAGCCUGUGGUAAGGGAUCUGGUGGUAUACCUCUUCAAAGUCCAGGUAGAUGAGAUUGAGCAGGAUGAAAUGCUGCUCCCGUCAAAAUGAACAGCAAAAUUCCUACUGAUUUGCAAGCAAAAUAUAAGG
This is a long non-coding RNA of Oxyura jamaicensis (ruddy duck), 303 nucleotides long. RefSeq lists it as uncharacterized. NCBI's taxonomy places the organism in Eukaryota, Metazoa, Chordata, Aves, Anseriformes, Anatidae. The transcript is spliced from 3 exons. The record is from RefSeq and is a predicted model, not a curated record.